AACGCACCUUGCACCCUUUGGUAUUCCGAGGGGUACACCCGUUUGAGUGUCAUUGUAAUCUCACUCCGACGACUUUAUUGUUGUCUGGAGGUGGACUUGGACUCUGCCGUGUCACAAUGGCUGGUCUGAAAUGCAUGAGUGCACCCUGCUGUAGCAGCGUCUUCAGUGUGAUAAGUAUCUUCACUGAUUCAAGCUCCCUUCUGUGGGACACGCUCGUCUGGUGGGCUCUGUGCUUCCAACCGUCCUGUGGACAACUCUUGACAAUUUGACCUCAAAUCGGGUGGGAUUACCCGCUGAACUUAA
Molecule: unclassified non-coding RNA, 303 nt
Filed under: uncultured fungus
Lineage: Eukaryota; Fungi
Description: partial contains 5.8S ribosomal RNA, internal transcribed spacer 2, and large subunit ribosomal RNA
Source: RNAcentral